Helianthus annuus (common sunflower) is the source of this 1606-nucleotide long non-coding RNA. RefSeq lists it as uncharacterized. The transcript is spliced from 2 exons. Lineage: Eukaryota; Viridiplantae; Streptophyta; Magnoliopsida; Asterales; Asteraceae. The record is from RefSeq and is a predicted model, not a curated record.
UUUUACUUUCACCAACAAGCUUACUUUUCUUUUCUUUUAGCCACCACUUUCAUUUCUCAUUUAUUUUGCUUUCACAAUUUCACAAUACGCACAUAGAGAGAAGCCUUGAGAGAAACCAAGAAAGAUAGAACGAUCAACAAGGCGGUGCCGACCAUGGCGGAGUGGGGUUUAAACAAGUGAAGAAACUGAGAACGACGAAGAAGGCGUUGCCGGCCACGGCGGUGUGGGUUUAAAUGGCAAGUAGAAGUGGUGGUUGUCGCUCAGAUGGACGGGGGCGAUGGUAAAGCGUUUUGGUUUCUAUGACUCGGCUGCAGUGGUGGUUUCCGGUGGUCUAUGAUAAGGGACCACACAGCAACAACAACGAUGAUGGGUUUAGAGGUUAUCCUCAGCUGGAUCUUCCGGUCAUUACCACCGCUAAUAUCUAUAUUCUCCCUCCAAUCGCAUGAUAUCUCCAAAUCUCCGAUUACCUACUGUGCGUCACCGGUACCAACAUUCAAUGGCGGCGAUGGUGUUCUCCGACGAUUCUAAGGGUUGACGGCUCCUGGCCGGUUCUGGAAUGUAGAUGGGGUUCCGGCCAAUUUCUGGUAACUCAGAUGCGUUUCCGAUGAACCAAACACUAGCCCGAAUAUAUGGGAGGUGGUUAUGGCACAAUAUAUAAGGCACAAAGUAAAUCAGACGGAACGACAUUUGUUGUUAAAUGUAAGGAGCUGAGUAUUCAGUUAUGCUAUGCCUUUUUCGGUUCAACAAUGUCAAUUGACAAAGUAUUAUUUAUGAUGCAAAUGUAUUCAGUCAUGCCAUGCCUUUUACCGUUGACAACCACGAACAGUAGUUACCACUUACCAGGUGACCUUUCGAUUUAACUUCUAUUUCGCAAGUCAUCUCAAUGUACGGCAUUUGCAUCAACCGUCAACAAUUUUUUUUCAGUUUCCCCCAACUAAAAAUCCAAUUUUUUACUAAGUUCUAAAUUAAUACAUCUUGGUGUAUGUAUAAGUGUUAUUUAAUACAUUGGCUUAUUUGGUCAGAAAAAAUAAAACAUGUAUUUUGUUGGAAACUAUUAUUUUCAUGGGAAUCUAAAAUGGACAACUCCGAUCAACAAAAUGCACACGUCGGACCAUCACUAAUUCAUUAUUUAGUGUUUAUACAAAAGAAAUAAGUGACAACUGAUGCCAAAUGAAAGACCUAACAAUUAAUCACGAAGAAAGUGAUGCAGCCAUGCAGGUAAUGGAGUGUUUUAGAUUGGUUCAAAUAUAUUUUUUAACUAAUGAGGCGAUGAAGUGUUUCAGAUUGGUGAAAGUAACGCAGGUGAUAAAAGUGUUUCGAUUGGUGCAAAAAGUUUGAUGCUUCCGUUACAGAGCUAUAACUUGAUGGUAAGGCUCAACCACAAGUUAUUGUUUUCGCUGCUCAUAUUUAUAAUAUUUUAGUGUUAAUGUAUGAAGUCAAUGCAAAUGCUCUUUGAAUUGUGUAUAUUUCAACCAUUUGAAAUUCGCUUUCAUAUCGUGGAACCAUUUCUUGUGAAAGAGGUUCUAAGUUCAAAACCAUGGUACCUUCCUCUUCUACAGUGUUUACGCUUUGGAUUUAGGUUGUCCAAUUGGGUUUUUUUUCAACA